GUGUGAAAAAUCAACAUCGACAACAGCGGCACAGACAACAGUGGACCACAACACAGCAUGCGGCUGUCAUGGUAACAAGCUGCUAAUGCCACGCUGUCUGUUGAUUGGCUAAAAUUACCAAAAUUUCCCAAAUUUAAUUCCAAAUAAUAUCAGAUUCUUUAAUGUACGAGAUAAAGUAAUUGGUUGAUCGUAAUUAAAAUUCAGAGUUGCAUCGAUACACCAAAAUUGAAAGCAAUCAGAGCAAAAUUAAAUGGGGAUCAUUUUGCGAACGAGAAAGACUAGAUCCCGUAUGUGUAUGAAAA
Octopus sinensis (East Asian common octopus) is the source of this 302-nucleotide long non-coding RNA. RefSeq lists it as uncharacterized. The transcript has 3 exons. The record is from RefSeq and is a predicted model, not a curated record. Lineage: Eukaryota; Metazoa; Mollusca; Cephalopoda; Octopoda; Octopodidae.